Molecule: transfer RNA, 73 nt
Filed under: Camelus bactrianus (Bactrian camel)
Lineage: Eukaryota; Metazoa; Chordata; Mammalia; Artiodactyla; Camelidae
Also listed under: 1 other name
Rfam family: tRNA
About the family: Transfer RNA (tRNA) molecules are approximately 80 nucleotides in length. Their secondary structure includes four short double-helical elements and three loops (D, anti-codon, and T loops). Further hydrogen bonds mediate the characteristic L-shaped molecular structure. tRNAs have two regions of fundamental functional importance: the anti-codon, which is responsible for specific mRNA codon recognition, and the 3' end, to which the tRNAs corresponding amino acid is attached (by aminoacyl-tRNA synthetases). tRNAs cope with the degeneracy of the genetic code in two manners: having more than one tRNA (with a specific anti-codon) for a particular amino acid; and 'wobble' base-pairing, i.e. permitting non-standard base-pairing at the 3rd anti-codon position.
Source: Rfam by way of RNAcentral
GAGGGUAUAGUUCAAGUGAUAGAGCGCAUGCCCAGCAUGCAUGAGGUCCUGGGUUCAAUCCCCAGCACCUCCA